RNAcentral lists this ribosomal RNA (498 nucleotides) under uncultured bacterium. Its description in RNAcentral is "partial 16S ribosomal RNA". It matches the Rfam family "Bacterial small subunit ribosomal RNA", at positions 30 to 523 of the family's 1533-position model. The record is from RNAcentral.
AUUGAACGCUGGCGGCAUGCUUUACACAUGCAAGUCGAACGGUAACAGGCCGCAAGGUGCUGACGAGUGGCGAACGGGUGAGUAAUGCAUCGGAACGUACCCAGUCGUGGGGGAUAACGCAGCGAAAGCUGUGCUAAUACCGCAUACGAUCUAUGGAUGAAAGCGGGGGACCGUAAGGCCUCGCGCGAUUGGAGCGGCCGAUGUCAGAUUAGGUAGUUGGUGGGGUAAAGGCUCACCAAGCCAACGAUCUGUAGCUGGUCUGAGAGGACGACCAGCCACACUGGGACUGAGACACGGCCCAGACUCCUACGGGAGGCAGCAGUGGGGAAUUUUGGACAAUGGGCGCAAGCCUGAUCCAGCAAUGCCGCGUGCAGGAAGAAGGCUUUCGGGUUGUAAACUGCUUUUGUACGGAACGAAAAGGUUUGGGUUAAUACCCUGGGCCGAUGACGGUACCGUAAGAAUAAGCACCGGCUAACUACGUGCCAGCAGCCGCCGCCG